ACCUCGGAUCAGGUAGGAAUACCCGCUGAACUUAAGCAUAUCAAUAAGCGGAGGAAAAGAAACCAACAGGGAUUGCCCUAGUAACGGCGAGUGAAGCGGCAACAGCUCAAAUUUGAAAUCUGGCCUUCGGGUCCGAAUUGUAAUUUGUAGAGGAUGCUUUUGGUGAGGUACCUUCCGAGUUCCCUGGAACGGGACGCCAUAGAGGGUGAGAGCCCCGUCUGGUUGGAUACCGAUCCUCUGUAAAGCUCCUUCGACGAGUCGAGUAGUUUGGGAAUGCUGCUCUAAAUGGGAGGUAUAUGUCUUCUAAAGCUAAAUAUUGGCCAGAGACCGAUAGCGCACAAGUAGAGUGAUCGAAAGAUGAAAAGCACUUUGAAAAGAGAGUUAAAAAGUACGUGAAAUUGUUGAAAGGGAAGCGCUCAUGACCAGACUUGGGCUUGGUUGAUCAUCCAGGGUUCUCCCUGGUGCACUCUUCCAGCCCAGGCCAGCAUCAGUUCGCUGUGGGGGAUAAAGGCUUUGGGAAUGUGGCUCCUCCGGGAGUGUUAUAGCCCAUUGUGUAAUACCCUGUGGUGGA
Molecule: ribosomal RNA, 571 nt
Filed under: Nectriaceae sp. C_2_BESC_319n
Lineage: Eukaryota; Fungi; Ascomycota; Sordariomycetes; Hypocreales; Nectriaceae
Description: eukaryotic LSU rRNA
Rfam family: Eukaryotic large subunit ribosomal RNA
Source: RNAcentral